RNAcentral lists this ribosomal RNA (276 nucleotides) under uncultured Thermanaerovibrio sp. RNAcentral's name for it is "partial 16S ribosomal RNA". It matches the Rfam family "Bacterial small subunit ribosomal RNA", at positions 1110 to 1382 of the family's 1533-position model. The record is from RNAcentral. Lineage: Bacteria; Thermotogati; Synergistota; Synergistia; Synergistales; Synergistaceae.
GCCAGUUGCCAACGGGUGAAGCCGGGCACUCUGGCGGGACUGCCAUCGACAAGAUGGAGGAAGGUGGGGAUGACGUCAAGGUCAUCAUGGCCCUUAUGUCCAGGGCGACACACGUGCUACAAUGGCCGGCACAGCGGGAAGCGAGGCAGUGAUGCCAAGCGGAUCCCUUAAAGCCGGUCUACAGUUCGGAUUGAAGUCUGCAACUCGACUUCAUGAAGCUGGAAUCGCUAGUAAUCGCAGAUCAGCCAAGCUGCGGUGAAUACGUUCCCGGGCCUU